This is a ribosomal RNA of 398 nucleotides. The stretch from base 1 to 101 matches the Rfam family "5.8S ribosomal RNA", at positions 56 to 154 of the family's 154-position model.
CGAUACUUGGUGUGAAUUGCAGAAUCCCGUGAACCAUCGAGUCUUUGAACGCAAGUUGCGCCCGAGGCCACUUAGCCGAGGGCACACCUGCCUGGGCGUCACGCCACCCAUUGCCCCCCGCGCGGCAUUCCCAUGCCCCGUCGGGGAGCGAAGACUGGCCGUCCAUGCCAGAGCCCUCGGCGCGAGGUCAGUAGAAAAGGAGGGCACCAUGCGGUGCGACACGGCUUGUGGGGGUUGAAAGGCGAGCAAGCAGUCUCCGAUCGUACGUCGCGCCCGCACUCCACCGAGCGGCGCCACCAGUGGGACCGGACUCCGCCCGCAGCCGCGGGCGCUCGGAUCACUACCCCAGGUCAGGCGUGGCCACCUGCUGAAUUUAAGCAUAUCAAUAAGCGGAGGAA